AUAAGGUCAAGUUAGUAAGGGCAUACGGUGGAUGCCUAGGCGCUGAGAGGCGAAGAAGGGCGCGGACAGCUGCGAAAAGCUACGGAGAGCCGCAAGCAGGCGUAGACCCGUAGAUACCCGAAUGGGGCAACCCGUCCGGAGUCAUAUCCGGACAUCGCUGACUGAAUCCAUAGGUCAGCGAAGCCAACCCGGGGAACUGAAACAUCUAAGUACCCGGAGGAAAAGAAAUCAAGCGAGAUUCCCCCAGUAGCGGCGAGCGAACGGGGAA
RNAcentral lists this ribosomal RNA (268 nucleotides) under Heliobacterium mobile. Its description in RNAcentral is "Heliobacillus mobilis partial 23S ribosomal RNA". It matches the Rfam family "Bacterial large subunit ribosomal RNA", at positions 1 to 264 of the family's 2925-position model. The record is from RNAcentral. Lineage: Bacteria; Bacillati; Bacillota; Clostridia; Eubacteriales; Heliobacteriaceae.